Molecule: ribosomal RNA, 559 nt
Filed under: Awaous grammepomus (largesnout goby)
Lineage: Eukaryota; Metazoa; Chordata; Actinopteri; Gobiiformes; Gobiidae
Description: partial 16S large subunit ribosomal RNA
Rfam family: Bacterial large subunit ribosomal RNA
Source: RNAcentral
AUAAGAGGUCCCGCCUGCCCUGUGACUUGUUAGUUUAACGGCCGCGGUAUUUUGACCGUGCGAAGGUAGCGUAAUCACUUGUCUUUUAAAUGGAGACCUGUAUGAAUGGCAUAACGAGGGCUAAGCUGUCUCCUUUUUCCAGUCAAUGAAAUUAAUCUUCCCGUGCAGAAGCGGGAAUAAGCACAUAAGACGAGAAGACCCUAUGGAGCUUUAGACAAAAGGCAGAUAACAUAAAAUUAACUGAGUAAACAGAACAAACAAAGUACCCCCUGCCCUCCUGUCUUUGGUUGGGGCGACCGUGGGGAAACAAAUAUCCCCCAUGUGGAAUGGGAACUAUUCCUCAAGACCAGAGCUACAGCUCUAACAAACAGAACUUCUGACCAAGAAGACCCGGCAAAGCCGAUCAACGGACCGAGUUACCCUAGGGAUAACAGCGCAAUCCCCUUUUAGAGCCCAUAUCGACAAGGGGGUUUACGACCUCGAUGUUGGAUCAGGACAUCCUAAUGGUGCAGCCGCUAUUAAGGGUUCGUUUGUUCAACGAUUAAAGUCCUACGUGAUC